RNAcentral lists this unclassified non-coding RNA (404 nucleotides) under fungal sp. RNAcentral describes it as "partial internal transcribed spacer region". The stretch from base 1 to 46 matches the Rfam family "Eukaryotic small subunit ribosomal RNA", at positions 1786 to 1831 of the family's 1831-position model. The record is from RNAcentral. Lineage: Eukaryota; Fungi.
AAGUCGUAACAAGGUUUCCGUAGGUGAACCUGCGGAAGGAUCAUUAACACGUAUCCAAACGUUAACCCCCCUGUGAACCUUUAGUGUGCUCGUACGCUUUGUCAGUGACACUUUCAGACACCAACUGCUUGGGAAUGCCAGGCCACUUGCCUCGCGCUACGAGCACACUCUUUGUGGAAGUCCCUAAAUCGAAAACUGUUCGGCGAUGAUUUACUAGGGAUUGCCACGCUCUGGCUGUGUAAGGAUGGCGCAGUCACGAUCGUUGGAGGCCGACACGGCCGACGACCGGGUCACCGGGCUCACGCCCCUUAAUCACAACUUAAUGCAUGUCAGACGCGCCUGCGCUUAAUUGUGCGGCGACCAUAAAACUCGAACAACUGUUAACAAUGGAUAUCUUGGUUCUC